RNAcentral lists this ribosomal RNA (431 nucleotides) under bacterium D13. RNAcentral's name for it is "bacterial SSU rRNA". It matches the Rfam family "Bacterial small subunit ribosomal RNA", at positions 38 to 481 of the family's 1533-position model. The record is from RNAcentral.
GGCGGCGUGCUUACACAUGCAGUCGAACGAUGAAGCCAGCUUGCUGGGUGGAUUAGUGGCGAACGGGUGAGUAACACGUGAGUAACCUGCCCCUGACUCUGGGAUAAGCCCGGGAAACUGGGUCUAAUACCGGAUAUGACCAUGGGACGCAUGUCUUGUGGUGGAAAGAUUUAUCGGUUGGGGAUGGACUCGCGGCCUAUCAGCUUGUUUGGUGAGGUAAUUGGCUCACCAAGGCGACGACGGGUAGCCAGGCCUGAGAGGGUGACCGGCCACACUGGGACUGAGACACGGCCCAGACUCCUACGGGAGGCAAGCACUCGGGGAAUAUUGCACAAUGGGCGCAAGCCUGAUGCAGCGACGCCGCGUGAGGGAUGACGGCCUUCGGGUUGUAAACUCUUUCAGUAGGGAAGAAGCGAGAGUGACGGUACCUG